GCCUGGAUGGCUCAGUCGGUUAAGCGUCUGACUUCGGCUCAGGUCAUGAUCUCGUGGCUCAUGAGUUCAAGCCCCGUAUCAGGCU
RNAcentral lists this transfer RNA (85 nucleotides) under Felis catus (domestic cat). It matches the Rfam family "tRNA". From Rfam's summary of the family: Transfer RNA (tRNA) molecules are approximately 80 nucleotides in length. Their secondary structure includes four short double-helical elements and three loops (D, anti-codon, and T loops). Lineage: Eukaryota; Metazoa; Chordata; Mammalia; Carnivora; Felidae. The record is from Rfam by way of RNAcentral.